RNAcentral lists this ribosomal RNA (407 nucleotides) under uncultured bacterium. RNAcentral's name for it is "bacterial SSU rRNA". It matches the Rfam family "Bacterial small subunit ribosomal RNA", at positions 102 to 507 of the family's 1533-position model. The record is from RNAcentral.
ACGGGUGCGUAACACGUAUACAAUCUACCUUAAACAGGGGGAUAGCCUUUCGAAAGAGAGAUUAAUACCCCGUAAUAAAUUGAACGGCAUCGUUUGAUUUUGAAAGCUCCGGCGGUUUGAGAUGAGUAUGCGUCUGAUUAGCUAGUUGGUGAGGUAACGGCUCACCCAAGGCGACGAUCAGUAGGGGACCUGAGAGGACUAACCCCCACACUGGUACUGAGACACGGACCAGACUCCUACGGGAGGCAGCAGUAAGGAAUAUUGGUCAAUGGAGGCAACUCUGAACCAGCCAUGCCGCGUGCAGGAUGACGGCCCUAUGGGUUGUAAACUGCUUUUAUACAAGAGAAAACCCUGGUACGUGUACCAAGUUGAUAGUAUUGUAAGAAUAAGCAUCGGCUAACUUCGUG